Molecule: ribosomal RNA, 997 nt
Filed under: Cellulosimicrobium sp.
Lineage: Bacteria; Bacillati; Actinomycetota; Actinomycetes; Micrococcales; Promicromonosporaceae
Description: bacterial SSU rRNA
Rfam family: Bacterial small subunit ribosomal RNA
Source: RNAcentral
GUGCCAGCAGCCGCGGUAAUACGUAGGGCGCAAGCGUUGUCCGGAAUUAUUGGGCGUAAAGAGCUCGUAGGCGGUUUGUCGCGUCUGGUGUGAAAACUCGAGGCUCAACCUCGAGCUUGCAUCGGGUACGGGCAGACUAGAGUGCGGUAGGGGAGACUGGAAUUCCUGGUGUAGCGGUGGAAUGCGCAGAUAUCAGGAGGAACACCGAUGGCGAAGGCAGGUCUCUGGGCCGCAACUGACGCUGAGGAGCGAAAGCAUGGGGAGCGAACAGGAUUAGAUACCCUGGUAGUCCAUGCCGUAAACGUUGGGCACUAGGUGUGGGGCUCAUUCCACGAGUUCCGUGCCGCAGCAAACGCAUUAAGUGCCCCGCCUGGGGAGUACGGCCGCAAGGCUAAAACUCAAAGGAAUUGACGGGGGCCCGCACAAGCGGCGGAGCAUGCGGAUUAAUUCGAUGCAACGCGAAGAACCUUACCAAGGCUUGACAUGCACGAGAAGCCACCAGAGAUGGUGGUCUCUUUGGACACUCGUGCACAGGUGGUGCAUGGUUGUCGUCAGCUCGUGUCGUGAGAUGUUGGGUUAAGUCCCGCAACGAGCGCAACCCUCGUCCCAUGUUGCCAGCGGGUUAUGCCGGGGACUCAUGGGAGACUGCCGGGGUCAACUCGGAGGAAGGUGGGGAUGACGUCAAAUCAUCAUGCCCCUUAUGUCUUGGGCUUCACGCAUGCUACAAUGGCCGGUACAAAGGGCUGCGAUACCGUAAGGUGGAGCGAAUCCCAAAAAGCCGGUCUCAGUUCGGAUUGGGGUCUGCAACUCGACCCCAUGAAGUCGGAGUCGCUAGUAAUCGCAGAUCAGCAACGCUGCGGUGAAUACGUUCCCGGGCCUUGUACACACCGCCCGUCAAGUCACGAAAGUCGGUAACACCCGAAGCCCAUGGCCCAACCGUUCGCGGGGGGAGUGGUCGAAGGUGGGACUGGCGAUUGGGACUAAGUCGUAACAAGGU